UACAUUUUAGUAUAUUAUGUAUGAGAAUUUUUGAUAUUCUUGGAGAAAAAAUUUUUUUAGAUGUAA
RNAcentral lists this transfer RNA (66 nucleotides) under Curculionidae sp. BMNH 1040049. RNAcentral describes it as "tRNA-Gln". The record is from RNAcentral. Lineage: Eukaryota; Metazoa; Arthropoda; Insecta; Coleoptera; Curculionidae.